Phragmites australis (common reed) is the source of this 1353-nucleotide long non-coding RNA. RefSeq lists it as uncharacterized. Lineage: Eukaryota; Viridiplantae; Streptophyta; Magnoliopsida; Poales; Poaceae. The transcript is spliced from 3 exons. The record is from RefSeq and is a predicted model, not a curated record.
GGCGUACCGGGGCCGCCGUCGGGGCGGCGGCGCCGAUGGCGGGAGCAGUGGCAGGCGCGCGGCGGCGGCGGCGGCGGCAUCUACACAGCCGACUUCUCCUGGAGAGAGGUACAAUGUGCAAAGCACCAGUAGUUAACUCUUCCUACGGAAUGUCAUCAAAUUUACAUGUGAGACUACCCCAAAAAGAAGAAGAAAAUAUCAAGCACGUAGUGAGCGUGUGUGAAGGACAGACUCUGGCUAGUUUGUUUCUUGAUAACUUAAAAAUCUUAAAAGGAGAAUUCUUUAAUCGGGAUCUGAAUCAACUCCGCAUGAUGCUUAAUUGGGAUUCAUGAGCUCUGUCUUAAGAGGUAAAAUGCCAUGCCUGUGCAUAUUGCUGAUCAACGUUGGAUAUUCAUGAUACUACCUUUGAGAAGAAAUCAAUUCAGAGUGCCGGAGAUUAUGACCGACAUCCUUGUAUGCUGUCUCUGUAGCUUAUUUCUCCCUCUCAUCUCACAGCUGCAAAAUAAUCAAGCCCUUUAGAAAAAUAAAGAUGAACUCUCAUAUCACAGACUCAAGGUCUCUUGGACUUGUGUGUAGACGGGGCGACCACAUUUUAAACUUGGAAUAAGCAGAAUUAUCAGAGCAGCGUUUAACUAUUCGUAUCAAUCAAAGCAGGCUGCAGAGCUUGAUACCCCCCCCCCCCCCCCGGGUUUCAGUGGCUGGUGUUUUGUUGGUGUCUCAGUAGGUGGUGUUUUGCUGUCAAUUAGGCUCUUAUCUCCCUAGCUGGAGCAUAGGGGUGCUUAGUUGUAUAAUCUUUGUAGCUUCUUUCCACCGUUGUAGGAAAGAUGAUUGAGUGAUCCGUUCCUUCUUUUUCCCUUUAUUUUGCUUCAGAAGAUGGCCAGGAGCACAAUAUGCUCAAUCUUUCUUUCUGUGGCUCUCUCUCCUGCUUGCUCCAGAUGUUCAUCCCAGGAGGCAAUCAUUGGUGGUGCGACAAAAGCAAAGGCAGGUAGCUCGGCCAAUCAAGCCAGUGUCGUUUUCCUCACCUUUCGUUCUCCCUCUAAAUACACUGAAUCACUGAUGCAAAUAUGCAAAUAUCUUUACAGGUUGACUGGUCCAACAAAAGCUUUACUUAGCCUGAUAAUUUACUGAAGGAAGAUAAGGUGUUAGCUAACCAGCUUUUGAUGCAAAUUACUAGUUCCGCGACAAAAGCUGGUCAAAAUAUACCCGUUGAUUUGUCUGUUGCUGGAUGUGAAAUUGCUUUCGCCUAAACCGUCAUAAACAGUUAUGCGCCUUGGUUGUUCCACCUUCCCACAUGAGUCCACAUCCAUUCAGCAGAAAAUGGUUCGAGUUGCCAACAGCAACAACCCUUAUCCC